This 492-nucleotide ribosomal RNA is filed under the name uncultured bacterium. RNAcentral describes it as "partial 16S ribosomal RNA". It matches the Rfam family "Bacterial small subunit ribosomal RNA", at positions 28 to 507 of the family's 1533-position model. The record is from RNAcentral.
GAUGAACGCUAGCUACAGGCUUAACACAUGCAAGUCGAGGGGAAACGGCAUCGAAAGCUUGCUUUUGAUGGGCGUCGACCGGCGCACGGGUGAGUAACGCGUAUCCAACCUGCCCAUCACUUGGGAAUAACCUUGCGAAAGUAAGACUAAUGCCCAAUGACAUCCCACGAAGGCAUCCGAAUGGGAUUAAAGAUUUAUCGGUGAUGGAUGGGGAUGCGUCUGAUUAGCUUGUUGGCGGGGUGACGGCCCACAAAGGCAACGAUCAGUAGGGGUUCUGAGAGGAAGGUCCCCCACAUUGGAACUGAGACACGGUCCAAACUCCUACGGGAGGCAGCAGUGAGGAAUAUUGGUCAAUGGGCGAGAGCCUGAACCAGCCAAGUAGCGUGCAGGAGGACGGCCCUAUGGGUUGUAAACUGCUUUUAUAAGGGAAUAAAGUGGGUCACGUGUGACUUUUUGCAUGUACCUUAUGAAUAAGGACCGGCUAAUUCCGUG